This 433-nucleotide ribosomal RNA is filed under the name uncultured bacterium. Its description in RNAcentral is "partial 16S ribosomal RNA". It matches the Rfam family "Bacterial small subunit ribosomal RNA", at positions 29 to 507 of the family's 1533-position model. The record is from RNAcentral.
AACGAACGCUGGCGGCAUGCCUAACACAUGCAAGUCGAACGAGACCUUCGGGUCUAGUGGCGCACGGAUGCGUAACGCGUGGGAACCUGCCCUUAGGUUCGGAAUAACUCCCCGAAAGGGGUGCUAAUACCGGAUAAUGUCUUCGGACCAAAGAUUUAUCGCCUUUGGAUGGGCCCGCGUUGGAUUAGCUAGUUGGUAGGGUAAAAGCCUACCAAGGCGACGAUCCAUAGCUGGUCUGAGAGGAUGAUCAGCCACACUGGGACUGAGACACGGCCCAGACUCCCACGGGAGGCAGCAGUGGGGAAUAUUGGACAAUGGGCGAAAGCCUGAUCCAGCAAUGCCGCGUGAGUGAUGAAGGCCUUAGGGUUGUAAAGCUCUUUUACCCGGGAUGAUAAUGACAGUACCGGGAGAAUAAGCUCCGGCUAACUCCGUG